GAACUGCGAUAAGUAAUGUGAAUUGCAGAAUUCAGUGAAUCAUCGAGUCUUUGAACGCACAUUGCGCCCCCGGGCAUUCCGGGGGGCAUGCCUGUCCGAGCGUCAUUGCUGCCCUUCAAGCCCGGCUUGUGUGUUGGGUCGUCGUCCCCCCCGGGGGACGGGCCCGAAAGGCAGCGGCGGCACCGUGUCCGGUCCUCGAGCGUAUGGGGCUUUGUCACCCGCUCGAUUAGGGCCGGCCGGGCGCCAGCCGGCGUCUCCAACCUUAUUUUUCUCAGGUUGACCUCGGAUCAGGUAGGGAUACCCGCUGAACUUAAGC
Molecule: unclassified non-coding RNA, 316 nt
Filed under: plant metagenome
Description: partial contains 5.8S ribosomal RNA, internal transcribed spacer 2, and large subunit ribosomal RNA
Rfam family: 5.8S ribosomal RNA (bases 1-105)
Source: RNAcentral